AGCGAACAUUGGCGGUAGGCUUAACACAUGCAAGUCGAGCGAGGCGUAAUAGUCGAGCGGCGAACGGGUGCGUAAUACAUGGGAAUCUACCUCGAAGUGGGGGAUAACGUUCAGAAAUGGACGCUAAUACCGCAUAAUCCAUAUUGGGAAAGCGUUGCAGCGCUUUGAGAUGAGCCCAUGGCUGAUUAGCUAGUUGGUGAGGUAAUGGCUCACCAAGGCGACGAUCAGUAGCUGGUCUGAGAGGAUGACCAGCCACACUGGAACUGAGACACGGUCCAGACUCCUACGGGAGGCAGCAGUGGGGAAUCUUGCGCAAUGGGGGCAACCCUGACGCAGCCAUACCGCGUGAGUGAUGAAGGUCUUCGGAUUGUAAAGCUCUUUCGGCAGGGACGACGAUGACGGUACCCGCAAAAGAAGUCACGGCUAACUUCGUGCCAGCAGCCGCGGUAA
RNAcentral lists this ribosomal RNA (450 nucleotides) under uncultured bacterium. Its description in RNAcentral is "partial 16S ribosomal RNA". It matches the Rfam family "Bacterial small subunit ribosomal RNA", at positions 29 to 523 of the family's 1533-position model. The record is from RNAcentral.